Molecule: long non-coding RNA, 5682 nt
Organism: Gallus gallus (chicken)
Lineage: Eukaryota; Metazoa; Chordata; Aves; Galliformes; Phasianidae
Exons: 2
Source: RefSeq, a predicted model, not a curated record
GUGGUUAGAAACUCUCAAAGCCUUCUAGUUGCCAUGUCUACUCUGUUCAAACACCAGGCAGCAAAGAUUCGUUGCGGAGCAGUGGCUGUGCCCAGGAUAUGAACACAAUUGAACUGUCUAGACAUCAAAACAACAUAUCAAUAUUGGAUACAAAAACUGUAUCCAUGGAGUCCAGAAAGGUAUUUAAAGAAAACCAACACAGUUACCUGGACUGAACUUCAGGCAGAACGAUUCCAGUUUCUACAUGACCUUGUAAGGCCUGCAGCAUGCCUUGUGCUAAAAAACAAAACCUCAGCCAUCAGACUGCCACAGAAGAGCAGCAGGGCCAUAGGGCACAGGAGGUCAAAGCUCUCUGGGGCUGUGGCACCCAGCUCCUUACAGCACUCCUGCACCCAGCUGUGGCUGGCACGUCACUGCGGGGGGGGGGAAAUGUCACCAAUAUCUUAACAGGCAAUUGCCAGCAGCACAGCAACAGAGAGGGUAUAUACCACAUGCAUAUGUUCUCAGAGAGAAGAUCGAUGGGUUAGUUUCUAUUUGAAAUAAAUUCAAGCUUGUGAAUGGAACGUAGGAAUUGGUGCUGUAUCAGGAAAUAAUUCUUCUGGAAUAAUAUAGCAGGACUGCCCUUGGUACUGCAGGCCCCCAGAAUGGAAAUCGUCACCUCAAAGUAAAUUUUCAUCAGUCUACAAGAAUAAAAAACAACAGUGCUCUUUCCUUACUGGGUUUAACAGCACAGCCCAUGAAGAUAAGGCCUUGUAAGAGCAAGGGAGCAGCAGGUACAUUCUCAGGUGUCUCCAUGAUAGGAAAGUUACUAGUGGAGAACUUGCCACGUUCACCACAGCUGGGAAAGCUCAAUCUUCCUUUAGUUCUCCACUGCUGCUGGCAAGACCACCAAAGAAAGGUGUUCAGAUGGUGAACAGGAUGACCUAAGCCACCGUGAAAGACAUAGGUCAGCAUUAGAGAAUGAACAGCAGUGCACAGCCUGUGCCUGAACAAUAGCUCAAAAGAAAAAGAGGUUCAAUGGAAACGUUUAUACUAAGCUGUUCUCUUUUAAUGCCUCCCACCUUUCUGUGUUUUUGUGGAAAGACAUGUGGACACAGCCAAUGCGUUUCUGAAACACUACACACUGCUUGAUGUCAUCUGACAGCUUUCAGCAAAUGUAGAGUUGUUCCUCACAUAUAGGAACCGGUCCAUAAAUUAAACAUCAAAGCAUAAGCAACUAAUUACUGUCUGCAGCCCUGCUGAUUUAGACCUUGAAUUAACAUUAAGUAGAAAAAGGAGAUCUCAAAGGAAAAGAGUGGGAUGCCUAAAAAAAGCAAUUACCUGUCAGUAAGUGAUAUCUGUCCUUUGGAGUCCACAUAAAUCCCACUCGGUUACAGCAGGAGCACGGCAGACAGCUGUCCUUAAAAGAAAGUUAAAAAAGAGAUUGUAUUUUAACUCCAGUUUUAGUCAAUUGAGAAUAAACAGCCUUUUCCAUGCAAGGUAGACAUCUUAGCUAGGUUCCAGUUUAAGGUACUGCAUUAUUUCUGCACUUUGCUGAGUACAAUAAUUGUGCCCAUCCCAAACAAAACGCAUCUCCCUUCGCUGUAGGUCAGUUGUGGUAUUAUAGGCUGGUGGAGAAAGGUCACUGAAACUUUUGACUCAGAAAAGGGCACUUGAACUUAAACUUCUGUGGCAGAAGGCACAGCUGUGAUUGAAUUCCUUGAAAGGGGCUGAAGAAAAUCUGCGAUUUGAGUUUUGCUUAUGUGGUGUUGCCAGGAACUGAGCAUCAUCGUUCUCCUCAUCUGGUCCAGCAAACCAAGGAAUGCAGCACAGGUAGUGGCUGACAUUUAAGUAAUGUUAAUGACAGAAAGCAUUCUGCAUCAGACUGAUGAAUAUUUGUUGAUGCACCAUAAAGUAGAACAUAGAGAGAGACCCGUAUGUGUUUAGAAGACAGUUUUCAGCUUUUUUCUGUUGUUUCAACAGGCUCAUUAUUGGACCUUGGCACAGGCAUAUUUUACAUUUAUAAAGCAGUUCAUGCCUGCAAAAGACACACUGGACAGUAACGGGUAAACUUUCCCAUUGCAGAGCAUUACCUUAAUCUUUUAUCUGGGCCUGCUUUUCAGUGGCACUUGAUACAGGAGCUAUACCAAACACUUCCUUGAAUACAUAAAGCCAGAGAUUGAGUUACACAUGAUCUGUGAUGCCAGGAAGACAAAAGCUCCUAUAUUACCUGGCACAUGCCUGCUAAAUUAUUGAAGUGCCUCUUCAAACGGAAUAUAUUCACUGGAUAAUUAGCCAACAGAAGAAAACGGUCUCUCUUUACAAAGCUAAUGCUGGCAGGUAUCGUAUCUUUUAUGUACUGUAACAGAAAGUAUUUGCAGAACUGCAACACAAACAUUUGGAAUUGCUCUACCAACGCGAAACUGUUCCAGAGGCACAUGGCCCUCACUGUGCUACUGCCUCCGCCUCCUGCUGCCUUACGAGAACCACCUGAUGGAACUGAAACAGAUACCUGUGAGUCCGAGUCCAGCCCAGCAUCGGGUGGCUCCCACGUGGGGCAGCGCAUGCAGAUCGCUGCCGUCCCAUCGGUAACGCUGCAGCUGUGCUGUACCGGCGUGCUGCUCAGCGCCCUCCUCAGCUCCUUUCCUGCUGCAGGCUGGGGAUGCAGGCGAUGACCUUUUUUUGCCUUUUUUGCACUUGUUUUUAGGUAACAGCUCUGAGUUUACCUUCUUGUUCUUAACUGAAGUAUGUAGAUUGGCUUCUUUCUUGGUCUUGGUUUACCUUCACAGAUCAAUAACAGAUAUGCUCCUCUAGAACUUGAAUUAAAAGGAAAGCAUUGCAACCUUAUGUAUGUCUUUCCAAUCUGUCAGUAUUUUGGAGGGAUAGCUUGAUAUUAUAAUUAAUUUUAACUUUGGGUUUUUUUUUUUUUCCUUUUAAAACAUCAAACUUAAGAAUUCAAAGCAGUAUAAGCCAAUACAAAGACGAGAAGCAAUGAAGGCGUGCUGUACGCUGCACUCCAGCACAGCUGCAGGAGCUCAGUGUUCCACUGCGAAGGCAGCACAGCCCAUCCGCACGCAGCAUGCACCAUCCUGCCAACGCUGCCACCUCCUGGCUUAAAGGGAGAUAUGCUGCAACAGGUUGAGAUGACUUCGUGCAUUCUGUGUGUUACUGCAACUGUCGGUAUAGAAAAUUGGAUGAGGGAUUUGCUUUCUGAAUCGAUUCCAUUCAUUGUGCUCUGCUGCAGCACUGCUGAGAGGGAAUAUUCCGUGGUGAAGCUCCACCAGAAACAAUUCCUUCCUUAGGCAAUAAGUGGGAAUGGGGAAAGAUCUCCGCUGGGCUAAACACGACUGUAUUGUGCAGCCAAACCUCCUCCACAGUGGCUGUGAAAAUGCCUUCCCCUAGAAUCUUACAUCCCGCUUCAGGUAGUUUUGGAUCAGUAACUGCCACACAAGUAACACCGAGCUGUGGAUAAGUAAGCUCUUAUCUUAAGGCUUGAACAGAUACAGCUGUGUGCACUUCACAAGAGAACCCCACAAUAAUUCUGGGGAGGAGUAAAUUGCCAAUGCAUUCUUUUGGGUAAUGGAGAACAAAUCAGUUCAAAGUCUGACUCUGUCAUCACAGUUGAAUACAUCUAACACACAUAGCGAUGUAAUGGAAAAUAUGCCCUUCUAAAAUUAGCCUGAACAAUUAACAUGACGACUAAAUAAUUCUGAAACCUCACCGAGAUAAAGGAAUUGCUUCCAACAUGAGAAUAAGUACUUGCCUUAUUAAUACAGAAUGAAACUAUUUUGGCCAAACUCAGCACCCUCUCAAGCAGGUGCAGCUCCAUUGGAACCUGUGGAAAUGCACACGCCAAACCAGGAUGAAUCUAUUUUCUCUCAACUUCAUUCACACGGCCGUGUAUUUAAACAAAGAAUCAGAAUCUUUAAACAAGAGACAGAUGAUACAUUCCAUUCCUCCCUAUUUACACCAGUGGGAGUUCUGUUCAUAGCAUUUUUUUAAAUGUUUUUGCCAUCAGCAAUCACACACAACCUUGAGCCUACUGCCUGCUGGCAUUCAGCUGUUGGGAAGACUGGAAAAACGUGGGAACAGCCAAAGAUUGCAGCACAUUCAACAACUGAAAAGCAAGCAACAAUAAAGCAUACACACAGAGAGAUCUAUUUAAGCAAGCAAGCAGCUAUUGCUGCAACUGUUGGGAACUUUUUUCUAUCUUAAAGAAAACUAAUUGUCCAUGAAUGUGAAAACCAAAAUCAUACCAACAUAGGAGUAGCAGGAAAAACUUAUCUUGAGAAACAAAGCCCAGAAAAGAGCACCUCUAAACAGUAGCAGUAUGGACCUUCCUCAAAGAUGCACCAAGCAGGAAAUGCACACCAAGAAAGCAAGCAAAGACUGAUGAACACGGCAGAGUCCAAAGUCAGGGGGCCGGUAAGCUAAAGACUGUGAAGAUAGUAUCACUCAUUUACACUAAAGACCAAUUGUCAGGUGCUUGCUAUUGCAACAGCCAGACAACUCGACUCACUCUCAUAACACAAAAGGCCUUUAAUGCUACUCCUCUUAAUUAUUUGAGGCAAAACCACAGACAUGAUUCAUAAUGAAACAGCAGCUGCAAAAUGCAUCCCACUUGCAGAUAAGGCAGCUGGGGAAGAAGCGCUUUACUUUUAAAAAGUGUAUGAAUUGCAGUGAAAGGACACGAAGCUGCUCAUAGAAGCAAACACACCGACUUGGCCACAUGAUUAUAACAGAACUACAAGAUAUAAAAAAGCAUUUCGUAAAAAUUUUAUUUGAAACAUAGCAUGAAUCCAUAACCAUAACUGUCACAACAUACAGUUUUACAGAGUUUGUACAAUAUGACAAGUAUUUUUACACAUGCAUCCCCUCGCCGUUUCUAUUGUUAUCAAACAAGAGUUGAACAGGAACAGUAAGCAUUCACUUCCAGAAAGAAACUUUGGCAUGUGUACGACUGGAUAGUUAGAAGUAAACAGUGGUAGAUUCAGAUCAGAAAGAGACACACAUUGCUUUGACUUUUGCUUCACAGCGUUUUUGAUCAGGAUGAAACUCACCAGCACUAUUCCCUAGUUCAUACAAAAAUGAGCUUUUUUUUUCAGUCCAGAAACCCCUGCUGAGGGAUGAGAAGUGUUAACAGAGAUGUAGAAACUAACUCUUAACUCAGAAAACGCCAGCUUUAAAGCAGUGUAGGCCACAGGUAUUUUGCACUCAUUAGCUCGGUCACAAACAGAACAGAACUCUUAAUGGAUUGCUCACAUUACUGUACUAUAUACCACUUGGCACAACUGGCAGUUUCUCCUUUGGACUAGCAUGAGAAUUGUUGGCUCAAAAGUCUUGUGCAUUGCUGGAGUGUAAAAAGUAAAGGAAAACAGAAUUUGCACUUGUGUCCAUCCAUCUUCUGUCUUGAAUUUGUCACUGCUAUACAUACCUACCAAAGUCAUUAAAAAAAAAAGGAAAACAAUUUGCAAGGCAUUUCCUCCCAGCAUACAGCAGGCAGUACUUCCAUUUAAAAUUAAAAAAAAAAAAAAAAUUAACCAAAGAAAGACUCCCCACAUCAUAAGUAAAAACAGGCCUCCUUUGAGAAGAACUACGUGAAGAAUUGCAAGUGCUUACAAAAAAGUACAGUAUGUAUACAACUUCUCCAGAACUAUUACAAUUAACAGUUUAAUUAGUACCAAUUAAAAAAAAGGAAACAAA